UACGGAGGAUCCAAGCGUUAUCCGGAAUCAUUGGGUUUAAAGGGUCUGUAGGCGGUUUUGUAAGUCAGUGGUGAAAGCCCAUCGCUCAACGGUGGAACGGCCAUUGAUACUGCAAGACUUGAAUUAUUGGGAAGUAACUAGAAUAUGUAGUGUAGCGGUGAAAUGCUUAGAGAUUACAUGGAAUACCAAUUGCGAAGGCAGGUUACUACCAAUAUAUUGACGCUGAUGGACGAAAGCGUGGGGAGCGAACAGG
RNAcentral lists this ribosomal RNA (253 nucleotides) under uncultured bacterium. Its description in RNAcentral is "partial 16S ribosomal RNA". It matches the Rfam family "Bacterial small subunit ribosomal RNA", at positions 524 to 776 of the family's 1533-position model. The record is from RNAcentral.